UACGAAGGGGGCUAGCGUUGCUCGGAAUCACUGGGCGUAAAGCGCACGUAGGCGGAUCCUUAAGUCGGGGGUGAAAUCCUGGAGCUCAACUCCAGAACUGCCUUUGAUACUGAGGAUCUUGAGUUCGGGAGAGGUGAGUGGAACUGCGAGUGUAGAGGUGAAAUUCGUAGAUAUUCGCAAGAACACCAGUGGCGAAGGCGGCUCACUGGCCCGAUACUGACGCUGAGGCACGAAAGCGUGGGGAGCAAACAGG
RNAcentral lists this ribosomal RNA (253 nucleotides) under uncultured bacterium. Its description in RNAcentral is "partial 16S ribosomal RNA". It matches the Rfam family "Bacterial small subunit ribosomal RNA", at positions 524 to 776 of the family's 1533-position model. The record is from RNAcentral.